GGAAAAUGCGUAGGAUGAGUGCGUGAGUGUUCACUUUAUUCUGUGUGUAUGCAUAUAAGACGACCUUGGGUUCCCCCCGCCGACCGUGUAAGUGCCUGAGCAAAUGCUCGUUGGAGGUCGCUGUGUUCAAUAGACAUCCAGCGCAGUUUCUCGCGCACGGCUGAAAUCGAUUUGUCUGCAAGAUCGGAAACGUUGAAAAGCCAAAUAAAAUUCUGUGACAAGCGUCUCCACACUUGGGUCCUCCAGCAGUGCCCGGACUUUCUGAUGCUGAGCAAGGACGAGCGUGAGGCUCUCCACUCUGCUUUGGACAAGACGCGAAAGACCCAAAAGUGUCAACGACGAAGAUGCCAGCAAAGCCGGGAACGAAAAUGAAGGCGACUCAAUCAUGAAACGCAGAAGCAACAAGCAAACGAGCCACGUCUGUCGGGCGCUGUGCGAAAAGGAAGCACUUUCGUCUGAAGCGUCAAAUUCCGAGCGGGUCUUUCUGCAUAUCAGCUGGAUCGCGGAACCCGCUCUCGAAUCCGGUACCAGCCUUUCUCUUUCUUUUCCUCGUUCGCUGCGUUUGUUUUCCUCUGCUCCAAAAUCUUUUCACCCUUUUCGCCGUGUCAGUACACAAUCUGUUUUUUCUCAUUCAGUGCCACCUGAGAACGACUGGUUCUCCGGCAUCGACUUUCGUGCAUUCUUCUGAUUCUCCGCGGGCGACGCUGUCUACCUUCUGAAGUCGCGUCUAACUCUUGCACCUUUUUCUUUUGCAUCAUCCCCGUCGUCGAAUUCUCCGCCGUGUCGUGGCACUUCCCCGCAACACGACAUCUGACUUGGUGUCGGCGAUUCUCGCGAACCUAACCCCGAUACGUCGUUCUUGACGUACUGUCCACUAACAGACUCGUCGCAGCCACUGCUGCGGUAAUCGUUGUGUUUAGAUAGCAGUCGACCUUUCCUUUUGCACCUCCGAAAGCUAAACCCGUAGUCCAACUGAGAGUCGUCUUCUCUUUCUGCUCUUACGUUAUGCCGAGAACGAUCCCAGAUUUCCCUGACGUCGAAGAUCUAAAACAGUAGUCCAACUACCACCUCUGGUUCUUUUUUCUCUUCGGACCUCCACUGACAACGACUGCCUGCACGCGUGGGGGGCUAGCGAGGAGCGGUCCUUUGGUGUUGCUCAUUUGCUCGAACUCGAUGCCACCUUUCUCAGGAGAUCGGACUUGCGCUACCAUCUUCGUGCGAGUGUAAGGAGCACUGUCUGCAGCGAGAGGUGGGGGUGGCAGGCGAAGGGGAGUGAGCACCGUUUUAAAUUCUUGGCCCUUUUCAGAAACCGCGAACGGUGCAUGUCCCCCCACUGUUUUUGCCGCUUGUACAAACCCGCCUUGGUCUCGAGAUACCGGAAAUGAAGGGGGUACGUCGCUUUCUUCGAUCUCCCCAAGAAGGAAAAGUGAAUCCUUGGCUUUUUCUAACGGUCCGGGUUCCUCCGGUCGCCUGCCCCUCGGCGGCAGCGCGAGUAAAGGCUUGCCACCAGUUCGAUCGACUGGCCGUGCAGAGACUUCUGCGUCCUUGGUGAAAAUGGAGGACGAAGUCGGGUUUCCCCUAUCACCAAAACCCGCGCUUUUGCUAGCGUCUAACUGAAUCUCGUGUCUGGCGCGAACUGGGUCCAGAAGGUACCCUCCACCGGAGAGGUCCCCUCGAACAGCUAUCUUUGGGGGCGAGUCCAACUCUGGAGAAUUCUCGACAGCCCGAAGCAAAGGCGCCUCCGUUGCAGACUUUUCGAACUGUGGCAUCGGAACACCUUGAAAAGAAGGUACAGGAGGCUGAGGAGGACGCUGCAUAGCAGGAGUAGGUCUCACGGUUUGGCCAUUGAUUACACUUACUCUUUCUACUUGGAGUCCUGUUCGUUUUCCGUCAAACUCUCUGGUCUCCUCUUUCCCCGUCCAUGCCAAGUCAGGAGGCAAGCGCUGUGGACUGUUUUCGUACCGCGUCUGAGGCGGAGGAGAAGGGGCUGAGGAGGCAGGUAUAGGCGCAGGAGCUCGAGCUUGUCGCUCUCUCACAAGAACCGGAACGCCUUCUAGUUCGUCUCGAUUUCGAGCGUUUUGAUUCUCCAGUGGGGGCAGCGGCGGUGUUCGGAUUGCCGCGGUACGUGAAGGCAGUGAGAUGGCUCGUGCGUCUUCAAACUCAUCUCGUUCUUCCCCCCUGUCUAUCCACUCUGUCUCGGUGUCGCCGAGGACCCCUUUCCUCCCCGUCGACCUCUCAUACGUUUCCUUCCGUUCUGCGCGGAGAGGCACAGGUUGCGUCGGAGGCGCUGGGGGAAGGGAUCUUUCUCCAGUUUCGAAACCCGAGGACGAUGGUAAGACGCCCACGGGACGACGGAUUUCAAAGGGAGGAGGACGUUGGGCUCUUUGCGGCGCCCGCUCUGGAAGCGGUACUUCGUCCGGAGGUUCCGGUGCACUCCGAGGAAAUUCGGUUUUUUCUGGCGGACGCAUCGGAAAAGGAUCACCUGGAGGGCCUCGAGCGGGGAGUGGUGAGCUAAAUUGAGGAAGAACGGGGGGCGGCGUUGGUCCUCGUGGUGUGUUACCUGGACUUCUUCUGCGCGGAAUCGCCUGUGGGGCUGGCAGAUAGAUUCCUCCUUCGAAGCUGUCAAGUUCUUCACUCGACGCAUACUCAGAAUCGAAGUCGUUUUCGAAGAACGUCUCCGAGGAGCACUCGAGGCAUUCUGUUGAGAAACCUUCUUCUCCGGAAAGCGGACCAGCGCUUCUCCCCUCCAGAACGCUGUAUGCGGCAUACUCUCUAUCCGGAAAGCUUUUGGUCUGCCGGUGAACCCCAAGAAUCGGCCCCCCCCAGUCUCUCUCCCUUGAAGUGCCUGGAGGAGGGCGAGGAGCGGAACGAGGCACGUUCCUCGGAGUCAUUAACUCGGGUCUGGGUGACUCUUCGGGUCUUCUUGCGCCUCCCCUGGGUCUUUCUUCCUGAAAAUCAACCGGAAGGCCGGGACCGACCCGAGUUGGAGGAGCAUCCCCUCGGGUAGAUCGUGAGUUGUCAAAAUAUCGCCGAUCCUCCGGCCCCAAUUGUCCAUACUGCGCCUGCCUUUCCUCCAUUGCCAUCUCAACUUCGUAUUCAAGACGACUGCGAGCAUACCUCUCACUUCUCGCUUCGAGCAGCUCUUCCGCGCGUGGUCCUCUUUGCUCUCCACUUGGCCUCGUCAGGCGGUUUCCACGCGUUUCCAGAAGGACUGUGUCCUCGGGGGGGAUGGUAUCUUCGGGAAUUGUCUCUUUGGAUGGCCCUGAACCGCUGACAAACGGGGCUGGGAAACGCGGACGCUCUUUGCUUGCUGGCCGCGGCGGUGUUGGAGGCGGCAGAUCCUCCAGGGCAGCAGUCUGCGGAGGCUGUGAAAAUCUCGGGCGAGGUUGCCCCUCGAAACUUGCCGAAGGCGCUUCGCUGUCAAAGGGCGGAAACGGAGGAGGGUAGUAGGGCGGCCGAGGUUGAGGCGGAUACGGCUGCGCUGGGGGUCUACGUGGCGGAUUCGGUUCCGGUGGAUGACUCGGUCCCGGCCGCGGCGACUCAUCAGGAGGCACAUACGUCGGUGGCCGAGUAUAUCUCACAGGCCUCCGCGUCGUCGUUGUAGUGCUCGGUGGAAAAGGAAUCGUAGGCGGCGAAGGAUACUUGGGUGAGGGGUAAGGAAGUGCUGGGUAGCCCGGAGGAUACUGCCACUUUGGAGGAUAGUCCGGAGGCACGCCUGGGGGAUAGUACGGCGGGGGGUAAGGCUGCCCACCUGGAGGAGAAGGGUAAGGCCACGGGUCGGGCGACGACGGCGGAGGCGAAGGAUUGGUAGGUCCCGGCGGUCGAGCAUCCGGAGGAGUAUAACCUGGAGGACGCGUGUAUUGUGGUGGCGGUCGCGUGGCUGUUUGCGUUGGAUCAGAGCGGAGAGCAACAGGAAAAUUUUCCGAACUCGUCCUGCUAGCUGUAGGGACCGGGCCGAUGUGCCUGUCGGCAGAGUCAAACCUCGCAGUGUUUGCGGACAUCUCUGGAGCGUUAUUCGACCCGCUGUAGUCACCUGAAUCGGAUUCAGGUAUUUGUGCUGACCGACCGUUCCCCUGAGGUGAAGAAACGGAAUUAGCACCCUCCCUAAUUUUCCCUAUGGACCGCCGUUCGGGCGGGAGAUACUGGGACGGCCUCGUGAAUCGCACAGGUCGUGUCGUGUGGAAAUCGUCAAAUGGGAUCGGUACAGUGCUUGUCGUUGUGCUACUCGGGCGGCGUCUUUGGGUUCGAGCCGGCAGCCAUUCGGUUUCCGGUGAAGGGAAACCCGAUGUCAUAUCGCGCGCUGCGGGGAAGACACCAACAGGCGGACGUGUUGGCUGUGCCAGGGACAAUCCGGGUGUGGCCCUGGGUCUUUCCAUCGGAGACUCCGCCGGGAUAACGCCAUCACCUGCCGCAGCUCCACUUUCGAUUCGAUAUUCAUAAGGCAGUGGGCUGGCAUGCCUCUCGGCCUCUCGCUGGUCUACCUCAGGGGUGGUGUCGGGGCGAGCAUAGUAAGUUUCCACUGGGACAUGAGGAACGUGAUUUGAAGGGAGUAACCCGGAAACGUUACCGGGUGUGACUGUCGGGGAAGGGUCGGUCGCAGGCUUAGCCGGUGAAGACUGUGGCUCGUUGUUCACACCAGGCGACUGCAAUGGCGUUUGGGGGGAACCAGGAGCCGGCGGAACAGGACUUGACGCUCUAGAACGAUAAGUUGAGAAAUCUUCCUGCGGUGUCUUUCCCCGCUUCUCUUGGGUUCCAGGAGGAGCAAACUGCCCUCGUGACCUCUGAGGACCAAUGCCUGGCGGCGGCCGAGACCGUGGGCGGUAGGGAGCAGGUUGAUUUCUGCCUUCCGUCAGGGGCGGUCCCGGCUGGGUGGAGUUUGUCCGUUCGUUGUAGUAAGCGCCAGGAGUUGUACCACGGGGAUCAAAGGGAGCAAAAUAAUCAUACGCCGAAGCAAAAGCUGGGUCGUAAUACGGAGCCCCAAAAGGCGGUGGACCGAAAUCCAGAGGGGGCGGAGGAAAAUCCCAGGUGCCAGGAGGAUAGGGGUAUCGAAGCUGUGCUUCAGAUUGUGCUCCUGCCUCUCUGCGGUGGCUAUUUGAGUCACGAGGUGCGUUUUCUGUUUUCUCCGAAAAAUCCGAGGAAGCCUCACGGUCCGUGCGCUCUUCCCCGGAAGGCUGUGGCCCUUGACGUGCACGAGGAUCCGGCGGCCUCGGGGGUCGGUCAUGUGCCUGCUUGUUGGGCGCAAGCGGUGGAGGAUGGAGAGGAUAUGGAGGGGCAUUUGUGUCGGGAGGGACGGGGUAGUACGUGGGAUAAGGAGGUGCUCUCCGUCGUCCACGUGCCGGCGGGUCAGUAGGGCUAGACGACGGGCUGUAUUGUCGUUCGGUUUUUGUUGGAGUCACGGCUGUCUCUGCCGCCGCAGGCUGGGGCGGAAAUGAUCCGAUGGUCAAACUCUUUCUCGGCGAGCCAGCAACGGGAUCCAAAGCCGCAGGGGAGGGGAAUGACACAAUUUCGUUUAAGGAAGAACUCCUGGCCCGUCCAUGAGAAGCGGUGCGCGAGUUUUGAACUUGUUUCUUGGGGCCCGCUGGCAGAGGGUUAUUACCCAUGCGAGCUGGUGACCGGUUUACAGAGAGGUCGUCCGCUGCUUUAGGUGACGGGGGGACGAAAUCUGGACUAUGUUCUGCAGUUCGUUGCCUUCGAGGUAAAUCUCGUUUGAGAGGGCACUCUGUCAGCAGUUGUUGAUGGCAGAGGUAGGCCAGGUACUUUUCGACUCCGGCGCGAAUUAACAUAGCCUUCGGGACUAUGCCGAUCGCCUCAAUGAACUCAACAAGGAUGCGGUCAAAGUCUUCGUUGGAAACAUGAGAUAUCCUCUCCAAUAGAAUAUCUUCCAGUUCGACAUCAGCGUACCGAGUACCUUUCCAACUUUCAUCCCGCGUUGCAGCGUCACCACGGAAAAUCUGGUCGUGGGCAUCUGUGAGGAACUGCUCCACAGCCCGGAUCAUCUCCGCAUCCUCCACUAAUCCAGCCGCUUUGUCUGCCACGAGCAGGUCCAUGCGGCCCGUGAAAGCCUCUGCGCUUUUGUAUUUGUGGGCUGCCCACGCGGCAGCCACUGAACCUGCCCGAGAGUUUGCUAAUACGAAAAUACACAGGAAAAGAAAGUGCAAAAGCGUCCAGAAAAAGGAAGGAAAAAGUUGGAACCCACGUAAAAAAACACGAGACUGUUGCUUUACGUACCGCGAAGGUCCUCUGUUGGUGGCAGAAGCAGUCAUUUCGUAUGACGAUAUGGGUGGUCUUUCUUUGACACGCGAACACUCCGUUAUUGUUCUCAAAUGGCGAAGACGGUGUUUGGCGUGUGAGAUCUGCCGCAUUUACCAUUUUUGGGAUUCUAUAGCACUGUUUAUUGGACGUGUAUGUAUAACCAGACUGCCAGUGACUAUAAGUGACAUGUAACGCUCGGAUGUUGGAAUGAAGAGCAGUAUUUCAAGUCUCUAUCUGCUGAGACCGGAGGACCUCUCGUGUGAAAGCAGGGCUACCAUAUCUCUGUGUCUCUUUAUCUUUCCCUGAUGUUAUAUCUUUCUGUCUCCAUCUCUUCCAUUUCCAGGUGUAUCUCCUCACCUCUCUUCCUCUGUGUGCACCUCUGUCUCCCUUCAUUCUCGCAUGAGUUCAGGCACACACAGGCGUGCGUGACUAUUAUGUGUCUAAUAUGCAUACACCUACGUAUACACGAGCAGUGUACUGGUAAUUAACAUGUAAAUGUGCCAGUUCUAUACAUAUAUGUAACCUUAUCAGUUCACUGACGAUACACGACUAUCUCAGAGUCUUAAAAAUAC
This 6824-nucleotide long non-coding RNA is filed under the name Toxoplasma gondii VEG. The record is from RNAcentral. Lineage: Eukaryota; Apicomplexa; Conoidasida; Eucoccidiorida; Sarcocystidae.